AUUGAACGCUGGCGGCAGGCCUAACACAUGCAAGUCGAGCGGAUGAAGGGAGCUUGCUCCUGGAUUCAGCGGCGGACGGGUGAGUAAUGCCUAGGAAUCUGCCUGGUAGUGGGGGAUAACGUCCGGAAACGGGCGCUAAUACCGCAUACGUCCUGAGGGAGAAAGUGGGGGAUCUUCGGACCUCACGCUAUCAGAUGAGCCUAGGUCGGAUUAGCUAGUUGGUGGGGUAAAGGCCUACCAAGGCGACGAGCCGUAACUGGUCUGAGAGGAUGACCAGUCACACUGGAAGUGAGACACGGUCCAGACUCCUACGGGGGGACGCAGUGGGGAAUAUUGGGCGAUGGGGGAAAGCCUGAUCCAGCCAUGCCGCGUGUGUGAUGAAGGUCUUCGGAUUGGAAAGCGCUGUAGGUUGGGAGGAAGGGCAGUAAGUUAAUACCUUACUGUUUUGACGGUACCGACAGAAUAAGCUCCGGCUAACUUCGUG
Molecule: ribosomal RNA, 484 nt
Filed under: uncultured bacterium
Lineage: Bacteria
Description: partial 16S ribosomal RNA
Rfam family: Bacterial small subunit ribosomal RNA
Source: RNAcentral